AUUUAAUAGAGCCUGUCAGGUGUCAAUUGACUGAAAAGGGAAGCCGGUGAAAAUCCGGCGCGGUCCCGCCACUGUAAGUGGGAGGCGCUUCCUUAAGACCACUGGUCAGAAAGACCGGGAAGGAAGGAGGCGCAGUGAACACGAGCCAGGAGACCUGCCUGCCAGAGCGCUAAGCC
RNAcentral lists this non-coding RNA (176 nucleotides) under Bacillota bacterium. Lineage: Bacteria; Bacillati; Bacillota. The record is from RNAcentral.